UCUCUAGAUUUCCACUCUGGUCUGCUCCUGUGUGCUCUUGUCCUGCCUCCUUCACCUUUUACUUCUUGAGAUAAAAUCUUAAAAAUCAAUUUAUGAAGGAGCUGGAUUAUUCUAAAGCUAAGCAAGACCAAAGUCCUACUGGUUGUCAUUGGAAAGCACUCUGACGGACCAGCAGUCUCCGUGAGCAGAAGGCACAGAGCCACGUUCGCCGGUUUGGCCGGGACCUCAGGACUGUGGACUCCUUGGGGCUCAUGGGAUACUUCUGAAGUGUCUGCAAAAGUACAUCAUAAUCAGGCAUGUCAAGUGGGGUCAGGCUGGAAUACACAGCUGGAGGAACAGGAAGAAGAAAUUUGUGAGAGCAAGUGCACGGGAAGAAAGCAGGGCUGCUAUGAAAGGACACAAAAGAGGACUUGGAGACUGUGUGAAGAAUGUGUUAGAAAUGGACUGGAGGUCUGCUAUUUUUACCAAAGGACCUUUGAGAGAAGAGUGCUUUACAGUAAAGACCAGCUGUUGCUCGUGGUCUUAAUUCUGGAUCUGAAACUUCCUGCCUGGUUCCGUGAGCCUCAAAGCAGCAAGAAGAGAAAAGAGCUGCAGGCUCCAUACAGUGAGAUGUCAAGGAGACGGGUGCAAGAUCAACAUGCCAUAGAACCAAAUUUCCAGCAAAAGCACAGUGUCUCCGUACGUGUCCACAGGCCAGGGGCGUAACAAGAUUGAUGCUCAGCCAAGGGGUGGGUACCAAGAGGUACAUGGGGUGCCUGACACCCGUCUGCCUGCUCCCUGUGGAGAUCUAGCAUCUCUGCUACUCCGGGUCUGUCAUUUUGCACAGCAUAAGGGGCAACGGAGAGACUUUGCUGGAUUUCUCUCUUUUAGAGGACGUUUGGAAGGAUCUAAUAUUUCCUUGUGCGGGAUAAACUCGUCCUGACGUCCCUUCCCGCUGCCCUGUGCCAUCCCCGGCCCUGUCCCUGCCCUGCCGCUUCCCUCUCCCCUCAGGCGGGCCCUCGCCCUCAGCCCCGGCUUCCCCGGCGGCACCGGGCCCUCACGGCGCCCUCUGCCCCCGGUCCCUGCGGCUCCUCAGCCGCCCGCCAUGCCGGCCCAGGACCCCGGCCGCAUCCCCUCACCCUCCCCGCGGCUCUGCGUCGCCUCCCCCUUCCCUCCGCUCUCCUCCUCCCCUCAGGCAGCCGCACGCACCGCACUCUCCCUCACUCUCACACGCACACACACACACACGCACACCCGCACAGGCGAUGCAGCUUUAAAGGGACCA
This 1264-nucleotide long non-coding RNA is filed under the name Anser brachyrhynchus (Pink-footed goose). Its description in RNAcentral is "lncRNA (ENSABRG00000006486.1)". The record is from RNAcentral. Lineage: Eukaryota; Metazoa; Chordata; Aves; Anseriformes; Anatidae.